GCUUCCUGGUCGCCACACCGCCCUCUGGUUCGCACACAGCACCGGAGAAACCGGAGAAACCGGAGAAACCGGGAACGGCACAUGGGGCACCUCCGUGCUAUUUUUGCAACUUACUCUCAACAGAAGCCAUGAACAGCAUAUUGGAUAUAACAGAUAGCUAAACUAAUGACUCUAGAAAUUCUCUGAGCACCCAGAAGAAAAGAUAAAGAGGCGAAAAUAAUAAAUAACAAGACAAGAAAAAGGCAAGAACGCAAAAUAUCUGUUGGGUAUUCCUGGAGAUUCCAGAAGGCAAGCGUGAGCAGAGAAGUAAUGAUGGAAGAAAUAA
Molecule: long non-coding RNA, 325 nt
Filed under: Homo sapiens (human)
Lineage: Eukaryota; Metazoa; Chordata; Mammalia; Primates; Hominidae
Description: non-protein coding lnc-TMEM242-1:1
Source: RNAcentral